AUGGAGAACCCCAGCUUAAAUCUGCACACUUCUAAGCUCCCAGUCAACAUUGGUGUCCCAUAUAGCCCAAACAAGAAGAUUGGCAAGAAAGUUGCGGUUGAUACCGCUGGCAGCACGCCCCGCCCUACUAAUAAGCCUGAUGAUACUGCAGCAGAUGAGGCAGAAAUGUUUGUUGAUCUGUCAUCCAUGGAUUCUGUGGAGCAACUUCCUCGCGAUCCGGCUGGUAGGGAGGAGAGGCACCCAAUGGCCUUCACCCCACCGAGCUGUAGCCUUGGCAUCGAUCGCAGUCAAGAUGAACCAGUGGUGCAAGAUCCUAUGUCAGUUGCCUUUGCUUUCCCGGCAGGCAUGGCCCCAAUGAUGGCGCAACCAAUGGCUGAUGGCAGGAAGCUAGGCUGUGAAGUUUGUAGAGCCGAUAGUGCAAGCACCCCUGAGGAGAUUACACCGUCACUUGAUGAAGCUUACCGCAGGAUUGAGGAGGCAGCAUUGCAGAGGAGGUCCUUACGAGGUCAGGGGCAAUCAAGUUCUAACGUGCCUGCUGAGUCGGUAUCUGAGGAUACCGUUAGAAGUUCCACCCCUGGUUCUGUGAGGCAGCAUAGGGUAGUUCACGCACCGCCCGCGGAUGAUUAUGAGCCCGAAGUCAAGGCCACAAAGGAGCAGAACCAGAUGUACGAUAUUGUCAACCGUUUUGGAAAUGCGAGGUCCAACAGCAAGCACAUGAAGGAGCUGAAAGCAACCAAGAUUAUAUGA
This 747-nucleotide ribosomal RNA is filed under the name Triticum aestivum (bread wheat). RNAcentral's name for it is "partial small subunit ribosomal RNA". Lineage: Eukaryota; Viridiplantae; Streptophyta; Magnoliopsida; Poales; Poaceae. The record is from RNAcentral.